GUGAAAGUGUUCCCGAGCCGGAGCAGGGCAGGGGUCAGCCAGGAGCCACGGCGGAAGUUCACACAAACGCCGGUCCCGGCGCCGGCGCAUCCACGGCCCGGCCGGCCACACGAUACCGCCGUCCUACGCAAGACAGCAGUAAGUCCACCUCCACCUGAGCCGUGCUCAAUACUUACUGUCACGCGCCUCCCGGCUCAAGCCGACGAAUAUUUACUCCUGACGCCCGUAGGAAAGGAGGAUAGACAACCCGCUCUCCUCUCCUGCCUCCUCUUUCCGCCCCCGCGCACGGCAGUCGGGAGCCGCUAAUCAGCGGCAACUGACAACUGAGAUUAGUGGCUCAUCACCUGAGCUUCUUCAGCCAUGUUUGUAACAAAGUAUCGUUGAGUGGAGCAAUUAGACCGGCGCUCAAGGGAUUGCCGAGCUCCUCUGAGCUACUUUACAUGCUUUGCCCUUAAUAAGCCACAUCAGGACUCCUGGCUAUUCCUUCCUCCUCAACGAGGACUGUAUGCGGAUGAUACCCUUCCCUUCACUUCUGAUCCAAGGGACGUAAUCAGAUAGACGUUCGAGAAGAAUAUCGGACUGAAUUGUUCAAGUAUUUGAGAGGAAGUCAGUGCGCUGGAUCUGGCAAAAUGAACUGCCAAGUUGCAUGGAGCGAAUUGGGUGAUCUUAGAUGUCGAGCAGCAUUGUAUAAUUUCAACGCUCUCACUGAUGAUGAAAAGUCUCUGUGUCCGAAUGCUAUAACGGCUGCCUGUAGAUUCACCGAUUACAACUGUGUCGUUUAUGUGCCGUUGCCGAAAGAAGAUGGAGCCACUGGAACUACAUUCAAACAAGUGCCAUUGAAGAAGUGUGUAGAAAAAGUGCGUGGCUUUGCCCAGCAAAGUAGAGAAUUUAGAGAAUUCUUAGGUGCGAAGAAAAAGAAUCUAUGAGCGAAGAUAUUUCAAAAUUUCUUCAAAAUUUGAACUGUCAAAAAUAAACUGACAAACAUUUUGUGCCGUAAUAAAUAAGCUGUUUGAUUAUUUGUCAAAACUGACUAUCGUAAUAAACCCAAUAUUUUAGAAUAAAUGUGUGUGACCGAUAAUAGAAAGAUAAUUUAAGGUACGCUACUUACUAAGCGGAAAAAUUUGUAUUUUAAGGGUUCAGUAGAAAGCCUUCUCUUGUUUCCUAGAGAAUGAAUUGCGAAAGUUUUUGAACAAUUUUGUGCCAAUCUAGGGCAUGAUAAUGCAUUAAAAUCUGACAUAUCACGGGAAUGAAGUAUGAUAAUUUUAUCUUGGUGAUCUUGGCGCUAGCUAUAAGAGUAAUUUAGAGCCGGAGGUAGAUGUAUGGCUCCAGCCAUAGAUGUGGUUGAAUCAACCAUGCUUCUUACUGGUGCAAAGCCAUUUCUAGCUGGCGCCAGAAUCAGCCGGAAAUAUAGUUGAAAUCAUCACUCUUUAAUGCUUGUAUCCUCAUUAUCAGCUUACAAUGAGUAGUCUUCUCUUGAAACUAAGUCUUUUUUUAACGUGAAACCUUAAAUGAACCGAGUUUAUCAGAGAGGAACCAACUCACUUUUUCGAAAAAAAAAUGAGUUAAGAAAGUUUAUAAGUUCCACUAGGUGUAUAUUUCCUCCUGCCAAAACUGAAUGUCGAGAAUUAGAAAUUAGUUUGUGAACAGAAGGGUUAUAGUUUAUUUCCUACAUUGAGCCUUCUGCAGAAAUAAAACUUCAAACCUCUUUCUCUCAGUUUCAACUUAAUGGGGGUUGGUUCCUUUCUGAUGAACCCGGUCCAAAUGGCAAUAAUUUCAGUUUUCUUGACAUUUUCUGUCAUACAAUUCCCAAUUUUUUUCAAUUAUUCAAUUCGGAUAUAGCUCAGUUUAAAGUUUGUGUAGCGACUGAGUGUUGUUGCUUGUAGACGGGCAUAAUAUGACGGGCAGCACUCAAAAACAAAAUAAUAUAAACAGGAAAUCAAUUAUAAGCCUGAAGUUAUGAAAGAAAUUGUGUGGAUCGUAAAUUUCAAAAAGUCUAGAAUCACUCGAUUUGAGAAAGUUAAAGUCAUAUAAAGGCAUAUUAUGCAAUGCAUGCGUUUCUCUUAGUGCAGAGUCCCCUCAAGAAAGACAGUUCGAUUAAUGGUGUUAUUUCAGCGAUGUGAGUGUCAUGAAAGAUUUGAAACAGAAAUAAAGGAAAUAUGUAUUCAGUACGGUUGAAGCUUGCAAGAGUACUAAAUACCGGGAUACGUUUUGCCGGUG
This 2217-nucleotide long non-coding RNA is filed under the name Bemisia tabaci. Its description in RNAcentral is "lncRNA ENSSSA1NGG001375". Lineage: Eukaryota; Metazoa; Arthropoda; Insecta; Hemiptera; Aleyrodidae. The record is from RNAcentral.